Molecule: ribosomal RNA, 253 nt
Filed under: uncultured bacterium
Lineage: Bacteria
Description: partial 16S ribosomal RNA
Rfam family: Bacterial small subunit ribosomal RNA
Source: RNAcentral
UACGGAGGGUGCAAGCGUUAUCCGGAUUCACUGGGUUUAAAGGGUGCGUAGGCGGGUUGGUAAGUCCGUGGUGAAAUCUCCGAGCUUAACUCGGAAACUGCCGUGGAUACUAUCAAUCUUGAAUAUCGUGGAGGUAAGCGGAAUAUGUCAUGUAGCGGUGAAAUGCUUAGAUAUGACAUAAAACACCAAUUGCGUAGGCAGCUUACUACACGAUCAUUGACGCUGAGGCACGAAAGCGUGGGGAGCAAACAGG